UAUCCAUGAUGCAUAGAGGGUGUGUUUACAGUCUGGGUGAAGCUGCAGUGUCGGUAGCACAGAGAAAGGAUUAGACAUUUUUAUUUAUUUUUAUUUCACCUUUAUUUAACCAGGUAGGCCAGUUGAGAACAAGUUCUCAUUUACAACUGCGACCAGGCCAAGAUAAAGCAAAGCAGUGCGACAAAAACAACAACAGAGUUACACGUGAUAAACAAACGUCCAGUCAAUAACGCAUUAGAAAAAUCUAUAUACAGUGUGUGCAAAUGAAGUAAGGAGGUAAAGGCAAUAAAUAGGCCAAUAGUGGCGAAGUAAUUACAAUUUAGCAAUUUACACUGGAUAGAUAUAUGUGCAUAUGAAGAUGUGCAAGUAGAAAUACUGGUGUGCAAAAGAGCAGAAAAGGUGGGCUGUGUACAGCUGCAGAGAUCGGUAAGCUGCUCUGACAGCUGACGCUUAAAGUUAGUGAGGGAGAUAUAAGUCUUCAACUUCAGUGAUUUUUGCAAUUCGUUCCAGUCAUUGGCAGCAGAGAACUGGAAGGAAAGGCGGUCAAAGCAGGUGUUGGCUUUGGGGAUGACCAGUGAAAAAUACCUGCGGAGGAGCGUGCUACGGGACCAUUCACACAGUCCAGUCAGUCACACAGUCCAGAAGCUCGGGCCUACCCUACUUCCUCCUACAACACCCUGAUGAGAAGCAAAAAACCUGGCCCCAGGACUCGCCCCACAGGCGAGGGUCCACCAGAAACUCAGUGGGUGGUCGGUCUGGGGGAAGCCCUGGCAGUGAUGAAGGAUCUCCUACCUUGACAUUUUUCAAAAAAAUGAACCCAGUGUGUCGAGGCACCGAUCUGUGGGGACAGGUCUCUGAAUGUCCUUGAGUGGCCCAGCCAGAGCCCGGACUUAAAUCCGAUCUAACAUCUCUGGAGAGACCUGAAAUCACUGUGCAGCGACGCUCCCCAUCCAACCUGACAGAGCUUUUGGAGCUGUAAUUGCUGCCAAAGAUGCUUCAACAAAGUACUGAGUAAAGGGUCUGAAUACUUAUGUAAAUGUAAUAUUUCAGUUUUCUUUCAAUUUAUAAAUUAUAAUAAAAAUCUAAAAAUCA
Molecule: long non-coding RNA, 1092 nt
Organism: Oncorhynchus tshawytscha (Chinook salmon)
Lineage: Eukaryota; Metazoa; Chordata; Actinopteri; Salmoniformes; Salmonidae
Source: Ensembl